GGAGGGUGCAAGCGUUAUCCGGAUUUAUUGGGUUUAAAGGGUCCGUAGGCGGAUUAAUCAGUCAGUGGUGAAAUCUCAUAGCUUAACUAUGAAACUGCCAUUGAUACUGUUAGUCUUGAGUGAUGUUGAAGUUGCUGGAAUGUGUAGUGUAGCGGUGAAAUGCUUAGAUAUUACGCAGAACACCAAUUGCGAAGGCAGGUGACUAAACAUCAACUGACGCUGAUGGACGAAAGCGUGGGGAGCGAACAGGAUUAGAUACCCUGGUAGUCCACGCCGUAAACGAUGGAUACUUGCUGUUGGAUUUUCGGAUUCAGUGGCUAAGCGAAAGUUAUAAGUAUCCCACCUGGGGAGUACGUUCGCAAGAAUG
RNAcentral lists this ribosomal RNA (367 nucleotides) under uncultured bacterium. RNAcentral describes it as "bacterial SSU rRNA". It matches the Rfam family "Bacterial small subunit ribosomal RNA", at positions 527 to 896 of the family's 1533-position model. The record is from RNAcentral.